GAUGAACGCUGGCGGCGUGCCUAAUACAUGCAAGUCGAGCGGUAAGGCUCCUUCGGGAGUACACGAGCGGCGGACGGCUGAGUAACGCGUAGGAACGUACCCCAAAGUGAGGGAUAAGCACCAGAAAUGGUGUCUAAUACCGCAUAUUAUCUUCGGAUCAAAGCUUCGGCGCUUUGGGAACGGCCUGCGUAUGAUUAGCUAGUUGGUGAGGUAAUGGCUCACCAAGGCUAUGAUCAUUAGCUGGUCUGAGAGGAUGAUCAGCCAGACUGG
This 270-nucleotide ribosomal RNA is filed under the name uncultured bacterium. Its description in RNAcentral is "partial 16S ribosomal RNA". It matches the Rfam family "Bacterial small subunit ribosomal RNA", at positions 28 to 316 of the family's 1533-position model. The record is from RNAcentral.